GGCCCAGUAGCUCCAUUGGUUAGAGCACUGUCCUGAUACGCCAAGGUUGUGGGUUCGAUCCCCAGCUAGGGCA
RNAcentral lists this transfer RNA (73 nucleotides) under Myotis davidii. It matches the Rfam family "tRNA". Rfam says of the family: Transfer RNA (tRNA) molecules are approximately 80 nucleotides in length. The record is from Rfam by way of RNAcentral. Lineage: Eukaryota; Metazoa; Chordata; Mammalia; Chiroptera; Vespertilionidae.